GACGAACGCUGGCGGCGUGCUUAACACAUGCAAGUCGAACGGGAAGGCCCUGCUUUUGUGGGGUGCUCGAGUGGCGAACGGGUGAGUAACACGUGAGUAACCUGCCCUUGACUUUGGGAUAACUUCAGGAAACUGGGGCUAAUACCGGAUAGGAGCUCCUGCUGCAUGGUGGGGGUUGGAAAGUUUCGGCGGUUGGGGAUGGACUCGCGGCUUAUCAGCUUGUUGGUGGGGUAGUGGCUUACCAAGGCUUUGACGGGUAGCCGGCCUGCGAGGGUGACCGGCCACAUUGGGACUGAGAUACGGCCCAGACUCCUACGGGAGGCAGCAGUGGGGAAUAUUGCACAAUGGGCGGAAGCCUGAUGCAGCAACGCCGCGUGCGGGAUGACGGCCUUCGGGUUGUAAACCGCUUUCGCCUGUGACGAAGCGUGAGUGACGGUAAUGGGUAAAGAAGCACCGGCUAACUACGUG
RNAcentral lists this ribosomal RNA (468 nucleotides) under uncultured bacterium. RNAcentral describes it as "partial 16S ribosomal RNA". It matches the Rfam family "Bacterial small subunit ribosomal RNA", at positions 28 to 507 of the family's 1533-position model. The record is from RNAcentral.